Molecule: long non-coding RNA, 2636 nt
Organism: Sparus aurata (gilthead seabream)
Lineage: Eukaryota; Metazoa; Chordata; Actinopteri; Spariformes; Sparidae
Source: Ensembl
GUCGGAUUUAGUUAAAGAAGAAGGGGCACCACUGCAUGUGCCUUGGAUAAACAAUGCAAUAUUAAAUCUGUGAAACUGAAAGUUGUCUUUGCUUUAUUGUUUACAGGUGCUUCUUGGGCAUUAACCCUGAGAUGGGCUCAAAUUCAAAGAAGUGUGGAGGCAUCAAUCGACACGUGAGCACGCUCCAAACUGCUGAGUCGCAGAUGUCCCCUGAGACCAACAAGCUGGAUGAUCAGAGACAAGACGAUGUGGAACCAAAGAGAAGUUUAGUAGAAAGGGAUGCUGGUGAUGGAAAUAAGGGACAGAAUGACACAGAUGAGGUACAGAAUACAAGUGAUGAGGCUUUAAACAGUCAGACUACAGGAGAGGAGAGUACUGCAGAAACUGGAAAGAACAAUCCAGUUAGAUCAGAGACUGAGCCUGAAAGGGAGCCCUCGAACAGAGAGACGCUAAGAGAGGAGAAGGACGAUGGAGCAGGAGAGCCAGAGUGUGAAAGGUUUGGAUCACAUGCAGUGACGGACUGGGAACAAAAAAUGGCCCUGGCAUUUUCACCCACCAGCGGCCCACGGAAGCGGGGUGCGCGCGCCCACGCGCAAUUUUUGACGCACGUAAAGAACAGGCACUUUUGAUAGCCCCAGUAAUAGUAAACGUAAAUUCCCAAGCUAUAAACAACUACACCCCAAUACAUAAAACACAUGAAUGAAUCUUCAGUGCCAGCCGCUCCAUAAUACAAACGUGUUUUACCGUCACGCAGUCAUCCAUGUCUACCUCUUCAUCCUCCUCUUGCUCAUAUUCCUCACUGUCCUGUCUUUCUCCCUGGUGUGCUGGUGCUAACAGUAUUAGCGCUAGUGUUAGCUGAAGCUGCACUUGAUUUUAAAAACAAAUCAGUCGGUUUGCAGCAUUUUUCACCGUCAACCAACAGUGCUCUCUGCGAUUUCUCUCUUUUUCUCCGCUCCCACCUUGUGUCGCUUGAUACCUCCAUUAAUUUUUUUGCUAGCUUAAACUCAGUCAACUUCCAACUUCCAACCUCCAACUUCCAACAACCACACUCAGAAGGUCCACUCGAUUCAGUCUUGAAAUUCCCAGAAGGCAUUACUUCAUUUUAACUUUUGCAAACUAUUCAAAUAAAAAAUGCAGGAAGAUUUGUUUUAUUUCAAACCAUGCACGUUUUUGAACAUCUGAAUAAGACAUUUCGCUACAAAACAAUGCAGAGUGAUAUAAAAGUUUGUAACUGUAGAAGGUAACCAUGACUGUGAUUUAGAGACUCGUAUGUGGCAUAUAAAUAGUGAUUAGAUCGCCUUGUUAUUUAGUGUGUAGGACACAAAGAAUUUUGGUUUCCCUUUAGCUUAAAAACUUUAUUGACGCUUGAAACAGCAGGGAGAAUCAAGGUGUGGGACCGCUCUGUGAUUUGUCGGCCGCCUUCAGCUCCGCUUUAUUUUUUAUUAUUUUCAUUUUUAAAUUUAUUGAUUUGCAGCCGCCUUUUGACGCAGCCGCACUGCUUUAUUUAUUUAUAUAGCCUAUUGGUUCAUUUGCGGCCGCGGCCGCUCCGCUUUAUGUUUAUUCAUUUAAUUAAUUAUUUAUUUAUUUGUGAUGCGGCUGCUCCAGGCGGCCCCAGUGGCAUUUGCCCACAUUGCCCAAUGGCCAGUCCGUCCCUGAUCACAUGAUAAAGAUGAUGAGUCAGAUGGAGAAAUAAGUCACAUCAGAUACAUGAAAACUGAUGAGAACGGAACAGCCAGUGAGGUAGAAAACAGUGAAGAUGCGAAGGCACAGGACAAACUGAAUGUAAAUCAAGACAGAGCACAUUCCAGCAUCACACAAGAAAACACAAGCAACAUAUCUGAGGAGGUGAAGAAAAGUGAAGUAGAUGAUGCUUCUGUUAAUGGUAAAAAAAAAAUCAGUCAAAAGCCUGUGAACAUCUGGAUGAAGGAGGAGGUAAUACGAACAGAAAUACUUCUUUAUGCCAAAGAAUACUCAAUCUUCUCUGCUGUCUGUGUCCAAACAAUGCAGAGGAUGAGGGACAGAUGAGAAUAUCUAGGAAGAAAGGGAGUGACACUGUAAAUAUAUGAAAAGAAAAGAAAAGGGGUAUGUGGCAGUGGGGUGUGGUUAAGGUGCUGGCUGCUGGAGGAGAGGGAGGAGUGGCUCAGCCGGUGUUCAGACAGCUGGACAGAAUCAGGUAAUCAAUCAGUGAGGCUCACAGGGUAAAAGAUGAAAAAAUAGAAAAAAUAGAACAGGCCCCCUUCCCAUUGGGUCUCGGGAGGUCAGGAAAGAAAGCAGGAAUGGAGAUGUCUUUCAACUCCCUCAACAUACAACACAAUAUGUAUGUUUGUUUGUCUAAUUGUGGUUCCUGUCAUUUCUCUCAUUUGUCUUGAGUUGCAUCAAUUAAUAAAUAAAUUGAUAAAUAGUUCAUUAAUAAAAUGUUGAAGAAGAGUCAAAUUUCGAAACAAUAUUGAUUACUUACAAGCCAUGAGAGACGUCGCUCCAUGUUGUUCAACAUAUUACACAAAGGUGAUGUGUGUGACUUUCAGGGCUGCAUCUCAGCCUUGUCUUUAAAAUAAGUUUUGAAAAUCUACUUUUUAAAAUGACUUUUACACGAUUUUAUGUUGUAACUCUGUACUGACUGGCGCUAUGUUAAUUAC